Molecule: non-coding RNA, 96 nt
Organism: Podospora aff. communis PSN243
Lineage: Eukaryota; Fungi; Ascomycota; Sordariomycetes; Sordariales; Podosporaceae
Source: the annotation of a GenBank genome assembly
GCCCGGCUAGCUCAAUCGGUAGAGCGUGAGACUCUUAUCCAGUGUAUUCUCACAAGAUUCAUCUCAAGGUCGUGGGUUCGACCCCCACGUCGGGCU